This 1691-nucleotide long non-coding RNA is filed under the name Parus major (Great Tit). RNAcentral describes it as "lncRNA (ENSPMJG00000004099.1)". Lineage: Eukaryota; Metazoa; Chordata; Aves; Passeriformes; Paridae. The record is from RNAcentral.
UCCCAGUGUCCCAUCCCUGUCCCAUCCCAGUAUCCCAGUGUCCCAUCCCAGUGUCCCAUCCCAGUGUCCCAUCCCAGUGUCCCAGUGUCCCAUCCCAGUGUCCCAGUAUCCCAUCCCUGUGUCCCGUCCCAGUGUCUCAUCCCAGUGUCCCAUCCCUGUGUCCCAUCCCUGUGUCCCAUCCCAGUGUCCCAUCCCAUCCCAGUAUCCCUUCCCAGUGUCCCAUCCCAGUGUCCCAUCCCAGUGUCCCAUCCCAGUAUCCCGGUAUCCCAUCCCAGUGUCCCAUCCCAUCCCAGUAUCCCAUCCCAGUGUCCCAUCCCAUCCCAGUAUCCCAUCCCAGUGUCCCAUCCCAGUGUCCCAGUGUCCCAUCCCAGUGUCCCAGUGUCCCAUCCCAGUGUCCCAUCCCUGUCCCAUCCCAGUAUCCCAUCCCAGUGUCCCAUCCCAGUAUCCCAGUGUCCCAUCCCAGUGUCCCAUCCCAGUGUCCCAUCCCAGUGUCCCAUCCCAGUGUCCCAUCCCAUCCCAGUAUCCCUUCCCAGUGUCCCAUCCCAGUGUCCCAGUGUCCCAUCCCAGUGUCCCAUCCCAGUGUCCCAUCCCAGUGUCCCAUCCCAUCCCAGUAUCCCAUCCCUGUCCCAUCCCAGUAUCCCAUCACAUCCCAGUAUCCCAUCCCUGCAUUCCCAUCCCAGUGUCCCAGUGUCCCAUCCCGGUGUCCUAUCCCAUCCCAGUAUCCCAUCCCAGUAUCCCAGUAUCCCAUCCCAGUAUCCCAUCCCAGUAUCCCAUCCCAGUAUCCCAUCCCAGUGUCCCAUCCCUGUCCCAUCAAGGGGAUCCCCUUUCCAAAAAUCCUUUGGGAUCGGGGGGAUCCCNGGAUUCUCCCAGUGCUCCCAGUGCCACUCUGGGGUUCUCCCAGUGCUCCCAGUGCCCCAAAAUCCUAUCCUGGAGAGCUCCCAGUGCUUUAAAUUCCCAAAAUCCCACUCUGGGAUGCUCCCAGUGCUCCCAGUGCCACCCUGGGAUGCUCCCAGUGCUCCCAGUGCCACCCUGGGAUGCUCCCAGUGCCCCAAAAUCCCACCCUGGGGUUCUCCCAGUGCUCCCAGUUCCACCCUGGGGUUCUCCCAGUGCUCCCAGUUCCACCCUGGGGUGCUCCCAGUUCCCAAAAUCCCGCCCUGAGGUUCUCCCAGUGCUCCCAGUUUCACCCUGGGGUUCUCCCAGUGCUCCCAGUGCCACUCUGGGAUGCUCCCAGUGCCACCCUGGGGUUCUCCCAGUGCUCCCAGUUCCACUCUGGGGUUCUCCCAGUGCUCCCAGUCCAGGGCCUCACCCCAAACCCCAGGAAUUUCCCGGAAUUUCAGGAGCAGAUUCCAGCAGCUCCCAGGGCAGGACCUCAGCAGGAAUUUGGGAAUCACCCUUUGGAAUUUAACAAAAAAAACAAAACACCACCGACCCAGCUUUGGCUUCAUUUUAUUUUUAAUUCCUCCCCUCUUUUUAAUUUUAAUUUUAAUUUUAAUUUUAAUUUUAAUUUUAAUUUUAAUUUCGAAUUUUAAUUUUGUUUUUUGGUGUGUGCUUAAUUUAUUCGAAUAGUGGCUGUAUAAUUUAUUUUCAUAAAUAUAUGAGAAAAGUUACUAAAUGGUUAAAAAAAAAGAAGAAUAAUAGUAAUAAUAAUAAUAAUAAUAAUAAUAAUAAAAAAAAACCAAACGGACUUUGCA